RNAcentral lists this transfer RNA (69 nucleotides) under Carterodon sulcidens (Owl's spiny rat). Its description in RNAcentral is "tRNA-Ala". It matches the Rfam family "tRNA". From Rfam's summary of the family: Transfer RNA (tRNA) molecules are approximately 80 nucleotides in length. The record is from RNAcentral. Lineage: Eukaryota; Metazoa; Chordata; Mammalia; Rodentia; Echimyidae.
AAGGGUUUAGCUUAAUUAAAGUGUUUGAUUUGCAUUCAGACGAUGUGAGGUUUAGUCUUGCAAUCCUUA